GUGUCGCUCAACGGAUAAAAGGUACCCCGGGGAUAACAGGCUGAUCUUCCCCAAGAGUCCAUAUCGACGGGAUGGUUUGGCACCUCGAUGUCGGCUCGUCGCAUCCUGGGGCUGGAGCAGGUCCCAAGGGUUGGGCUGUUCGCCCAUUAAAGCGGCACGCGAGCUGGGUUUAGAACGUCGUGAGACAGUUCGGUCUCUAUCCGCCGCGCGCGUCAGAAACUUGAGGAAACCUGUCCCUAGUACGAGAGGACCGGGACGGACGAACCUCUGGUCUACCAGUUGUCCCACCAGGGGCACCGCUGGAUAGCUACGUUCGGACAGGAUAACCGCUGAAAGCAUCUAAGCGGGAAACCUCUUCCAAGACCAGGUUUCUCACCCUUUUAGAGGGAUAAGGCCCCCCGCAGACCACGGGAUCGAUAGACCAGACCUGCACACCCAGCAAUGGGUUUAGGGAACUGGCACUAACCGGCCGAAAACUUACACACACCC
This 489-nucleotide ribosomal RNA is filed under the name Mycobacterium sp. Its description in RNAcentral is "partial 23S ribosomal RNA". It matches the Rfam family "Bacterial large subunit ribosomal RNA", at positions 2442 to 2925 of the family's 2925-position model. The record is from RNAcentral. Lineage: Bacteria; Bacillati; Actinomycetota; Actinomycetes; Mycobacteriales; Mycobacteriaceae.